AAAAGAAGAAGAAAAAAGAGGAGAAAAAGAAAAAAAAGGAGAAGAAGAAAAAGAAGGGAGGAUCGAGCUCGAGUUCUUCGUCUUCGUC
This 88-nucleotide non-coding RNA is filed under the name Corethron pennatum. The record is from RNAcentral. Lineage: Eukaryota; Bacillariophyta; Corethrophyceae; Corethrales; Corethraceae.